UGGGGAAUAUUGCGCGAUGGGGGGAACCCUGACGCAGCCAUGCCGCGUGAAUGAAGAAGGCCUUCGGGUUGUAAAGUUCUUUCGGUAUUGAGGAAGGUUGAUGUGUUAAUAGCACAUCAAAUUGACGUUAAAUACAGAAGAAGCACCGGCUAACUCCGUGCCAGCAGCCGCGGUAAUACGGAGGGUGCGAGCGUUAAUCGGAAUAACUGGGCGUAAAGGGCACGCAGGCGGUUAUUUAAGUGAGGUGUGAAAGCCCCGGGCUUAACCUGGGAAUUGCAUUUCAGACUGGGUAACUAGAGUACUUUAGGGAGGGGUAGAAUUCCACGUGUAGCGGUGAAAUGCGUAGAGAUGUGGAGGAAUACCGAAGGCGAAGGCAGCCCCUUGGGAAUGUACUGACGCUCAUGUGCGAAAGCGUGGGGAGCAAACAGGAUUAGAUACCCUGGUAGUCCACGCUGUAAACGCUGUCGAUUUGGGGGUUGGGGUUUAACUCUGGCGCCCGUAGCUAACGUGAUAAAUCGACCGCCUGGGGAGUACGGCCGCAAGGUUA
RNAcentral lists this ribosomal RNA (547 nucleotides) under uncultured bacterium. RNAcentral's name for it is "bacterial SSU rRNA". It matches the Rfam family "Bacterial small subunit ribosomal RNA", at positions 355 to 896 of the family's 1533-position model. The record is from RNAcentral.